RNAcentral lists this ribosomal RNA (270 nucleotides) under uncultured bacterium. RNAcentral describes it as "partial 16S ribosomal RNA". It matches the Rfam family "Bacterial small subunit ribosomal RNA", at positions 85 to 353 of the family's 1533-position model. The record is from RNAcentral.
AAGAUGGCGACCGGCGCACGGGUGAGUAACACGUAUCCAACCUGCCGAUAACUCUGGAAUAGCCUUUCGAAAGAAAGAUUAAUACCCGAUGGCAUAGUUCUUCCGCAUGGUGGAACUAUUAAAGAAUUUCGGUCAUCGAUGGGGAUGCGUUCCAUUAGGUUGUUGGCGGGGUAACGGCCCACCAAGCCUUCGAUGGAUAGGGGGUUCUGAGAGGAAGGUCCCCCACAUUGGAACUGAGACACGGUCCAAACUCCUACGGGAGGCAGCAUG